RNAcentral lists this ribosomal RNA (422 nucleotides) under uncultured bacterium. RNAcentral describes it as "bacterial SSU rRNA". It matches the Rfam family "Bacterial small subunit ribosomal RNA", at positions 957 to 1380 of the family's 1533-position model. The record is from RNAcentral.
CAACGCGAAGAACCUUACCAAGUCUUGACAUCCCGCUGACCGCUCUAGAGAUGGAGUUUCCCUUCGGGGCAGCGGUGACAGGUGGUGCAUGGUUGUCGUCAGCUCGUGUCGUGAGAUGUUGGGUUAAGUCCCGCAACGAGCGCAACCCCUAUGUUUAGUUGCCAUCAUUGAGUUGGGCACUCUAGACAGACUGCCGCAGAUAAUGCGGAGGAAGGUGGGGAUGACGUCAAAUCAUCAUGCCCCUUAUGACUUGGGCUACACACGUGCUACAAUGGCAAGUACAACGAGCAGCAAGCGCGCGAGCGCAAGCAAAUCUCUUAAAACUUGUCUCAGUUCGGAUUGCAGGCUGCAACUCGCCUGCAUGAAGUCGGAAUCGCUAGUAAUCGCGGAUCAGCACGCCGCGGUGAAUACGUUCCCGGGUC